RNAcentral lists this microRNA (19 nucleotides) under Drosophila virilis. Its description in RNAcentral is "dvi-miR-9693-3p". The record is from miRBase by way of RNAcentral. Lineage: Eukaryota; Metazoa; Arthropoda; Insecta; Diptera; Drosophilidae.
AACAGUGAGUCUCGCGUUC